CCAGACUCCUACGGGAGGCAGCAGUGAGGAAUAUUGGUCAAUGGGCGGGAGCCUGAACCAGCCAAGUCGCGUGAGGGAGGACGGCCCUACGGGUUGUAAACCUCUUUUGCCGGGGGACAAACGGCGGCACGCGUGCCGUCCUGAGGGUACCCGGAGAAAAAGCAUCGGCUAACUCCGUGCCAGCAGCCGCGGUAAUACGGAGGAUGCGAGCGUUAUCCGGAUUUAUUGGGUUUAAAGGGUGCGUAGGCGGGUUGUUAGGUCGGGGGUAAAUUGGGGGGGCCCAACCCCGGCCCGCCGUUGAAACUGGCAGUCUCGAGUUGGAGAGAAGUAUGCGGAAUGCGCGGUGUAGCGGUGAAAUGCAUAGAUAUCGCGCAGAACUCCGAUUGCGAAGGCAGCAUGCCGGCUCCACACUGACGCUGAGGCACGAAAGCGUGGGUAUCGAACAGGAUUAGAUACCCGAGUA
Molecule: ribosomal RNA, 463 nt
Filed under: uncultured bacterium
Lineage: Bacteria
Description: bacterial SSU rRNA
Rfam family: Bacterial small subunit ribosomal RNA
Source: RNAcentral